Molecule: long non-coding RNA, 1546 nt
Organism: Trachemys scripta elegans
Lineage: Eukaryota; Metazoa; Chordata; Testudines; Emydidae
Exons: 4
Source: RefSeq, a predicted model, not a curated record
GAAUGGGAGAGGGAGGCAGGGAUGAGGGCAAGAUUUCAUGCACUUUCAGAGCUUUGUGUAUUACUGGCUUAUGCAUGGCUUUUGCAGCUGCGCUGGCAGAGGACUUGUCCAGGAACCCUACCCAGAGGAGAGAUCUCAGAAGCGGACCUGAUCAGCCUGAACAUCCUUCUAAGCAGACAUGAACAGUCCUCAGCUUUUUCCCUCCUGUAUAACUGGCUUACCAAGGAAAAAGAAGUCAUUCGUCCGUCUACUGCCCUCAAACAAUGGAAAGCGAGCGAGAGCAACAAGACUGUGAGCGUUGUUGAUGCGAUGCAAAAGCCGUCCAUCUGGGAGCGGAACAGCCACUGCUGUCAGUUAGAUAAGUGUCUGGUUUGGUGAUUGCUCUGCUCACGGCCCACCUGGGUCCAGGUAGGGAUGCCCAAUUAGCUAGGGCUGGGUUUCUAAGAAAAGGUUUCUCAUUAGCUGUGGUUACUAGGGAGACAAGGUCCCCAUUUCAAGGGGUUACUCAUUAUUCUGUGUCCUCUGCAGCAGACGGUUGGAUCCAGGAGGAUGACACCAGGACACGGGCAGGCGUGUUAGGUGUGCAUCCUCCCAGGCUAUGUCUCGGGCACCAUGAAGAAGUAGGAGGGGAUGAAAAUCAUGCAGGGCUGUGGGUGUGAGAGUGGAGGCAGGUAUUGGAAGAUUUCGUGCACCUAUAGUGUUUUUGGCAGUGAUGGCUGUUCUAUGGGUUAUUUGCUGUUCUUGCAGAGGCCUGCUCCAGGCCAGUGGAGCAGCACCAGAUAGAGGAGGAGCAUCUGGAGGAAGUGGACCUGCUCAAUCUAGAUGUUUCACCUGGCAGUGGAGCUUAAGAGCCCUCUCGUGAUUUUGGAGGAGCAGGCCGUUUGCUUCCUUGCUGGGUACGGGGUUCUGUGGGAUUAAGGCUGGGGAAGGGACCAGAGUCACAGUUGCCAACUUUCACUGGGUAAAUAUGCACCCCGACUUUCAUAAUAAGCCAAAAAACAAGCUAAUCCCAUUUCAAAACAAGGCCAAAAAAAGCCAAUUCCUAAGAACCCCAACACUGUAUAUGACUAGAUCUCUCCUGUUGUGCAGUCUGGGACUGUGGUGGGCCUGCUGUGCACCCGAUGCUCUCCCCGCUUUGCCCCUCCUUGCCAGAAGCAACAAGCUACAACAAACAAUAAGCUACAAGCCAAACACAAGCCUAAUUUCAAAGUUUUUUUCCCCCACAGGCUAUAUCUCGGGUGCCAUGAAGAAGUAAGAGGGGAUGAAAAUCAUGCAGGGCAGUGGGUGCGAGAGUGGAGAGGUGGCUGUCGGUGUUUACGUGGUCUCUGUUCAUCAAGUGGGGCCUAUGUAGAUGGGAUGGAAGAGGGAGGCAGGGAUGAGACCAAGAUUUCAAGCACUAUUAGCGCUUUGUGUCGUGAUUGUUGAUACUUGGUUUUCGCAGCUGCUCUCAAAGAGAAAUUGUCCAGGAGCCCUAUCCCGAGGAGCAAGUGGACCCGAGCAGCUUGGACAUCCUUCUAAGCAGACAUGGCCGGUUUUGUUCAAUAUC